GACGAACGCUGGCGGCGUGCUUAACACAUGCAAGUCGAACGGAAAGGCCCUGCAUUUGUGGGGUGCUCGAGUGUCGAACGGGUGAGUAACACGUGAGUAACCUGCCCUUGACUUUGGGAUAACUUCAGGAAACUGGGGCUAAUACCGGAUAGGAGCUCCUUCUGCAUUGUGGGGUUUGGAAAGUUUCGGCGGUUGGGGAUGGCCUCGCGGCUUAUCAGCUUGUUGGUGGGGUAGUGGCUUACCAAGGCUUUGACGGGUAGCCGGCCUGAGAGGGUGACCGGCCACAUUGGGACUGAGAUACGGCCCAGACUCCUACGGGAGGCAGCAGUGGGGAAUAUUGCACAAUGGGCGGAAGCCUGAUGCAGCAACGCCGCGUGCGGGAUGACGGCCUUCGGGUUGUAAACCGCUUUCGCCUGUGACGAAGCGUGAGUGACGGUAAUGGGUAAAGAAGCACCGGCUAACUACGUG
RNAcentral lists this ribosomal RNA (468 nucleotides) under uncultured bacterium. RNAcentral's name for it is "partial 16S ribosomal RNA". It matches the Rfam family "Bacterial small subunit ribosomal RNA", at positions 28 to 507 of the family's 1533-position model. The record is from RNAcentral.